CACGCAUGACACACUGCAUAUCAAUAAGCGGAGGAAAAGAAACUAACAAGGAUUCCCUUAGUAACGGCGAGUGAAGCGGGAAGAGCUCAAAUUUGAAAUCUUCAAGGUUCUACCUUGACGAAUUGUAGUUUAUAGAAGUGUUUUCUGUUAGUGGAGUGGCAAAAGUUCUUUGGAAUAGGACAUCAUAGAGGGUGAGAAUCCCGUAUUUGGUCAUUCCUCCUAGCGUUGUGAUACACUUUCAACGAGUCGGAUUGUUUGGGAAUGCAGUCCAAAAUGGGUGGUAAAUUUCAUCUAAAGCUAAAUAUUGGCGAGAGACCGAUAGCGAACAAGUACCGUGAGGGAAAGAUGAAAAGAACUUUGAAAAGAGAGUUAAACAGUACGUGAAAUUGUCAAAAGGGAAGCGUUUGACACCAGUGUUGUUUUUCCGAAAAUCAAUUACGAAUGUUUUAUUUUUGAGGAGUUAUGACUUCAUCGGCUUGCUCCUUUCUUUACGAAACUUUCUUAAUGCACUUUUCGGUUAACAAGUCAACAUCAAUUUCUUUUGUUGUAAAAGGGUAUGAGGAAGGUGGCUUUCUUUUCGGAGAAAGUGUUUAUAGCCUUGUGCCUCUGCAAUCGGAGAGAUUGAGGUCUGCAGCGUAGAUCCUUCGGGGUUAGAUACAUUUGUGCUAAGUUAUAGCUUUUCAUAGACAACUUGUUGACUAUGUUUAGCCUUGUAGCUUACUCGCUUACGCUAUUUUACCUACGCUUAGGAUGUUGACGAGACUGUCGAUCUC
RNAcentral lists this ribosomal RNA (773 nucleotides) under uncultured Neocallimastigales. RNAcentral describes it as "partial large subunit ribosomal RNA". It matches the Rfam family "Eukaryotic large subunit ribosomal RNA", at positions 24 to 647 of the family's 3401-position model. The record is from RNAcentral. Lineage: Eukaryota; Fungi; Neocallimastigomycota; Neocallimastigomycetes; Neocallimastigales.